GACGAACGCUGGCGGCGUGCUUAACACAUGCAAGUCGAACGAACAGACCCGGCGCUUGUUCCGUUGUCGAUAGCGGAGCACGGGAGUGACACGUGUGGAUAAUGUCCUUAACAUUCUGGGAUCUCUAGGGGAAUCGGGCUCAUACACGAGAGGAUCUACUGCUGCGCGUUGUUGAAUGGUAAGAUACGGCUUUUGUGGAUGUACUCGCGGCUUAUCGGCUAGUUGGUAAGGUAACGGCUUACCAAGGCUAUGAUGCGUAGCCGACCUGAGAGAGUGAUCGGCCACACUGGAACUGAGACACGGUCCAGACUCCUACGGGAGGCAGCAGUAGGGAAUCUUCCGCAAUGGGCGAAAGCCUGACGGAGCAACGCCGCGUGAGUGAUGAAGGUCUUCGGAUCGUAAAACUCUGUUAUUAGGGAAGAACAAAUGUGUAAGUAACUAUGCACGUCUUGACGGUACCUAAUCAGAAAGCCACGGCUAACUACGUG
Molecule: ribosomal RNA, 488 nt
Filed under: uncultured bacterium
Lineage: Bacteria
Description: partial 16S ribosomal RNA
Rfam family: Bacterial small subunit ribosomal RNA
Source: RNAcentral